GGAGACUUAGCUCAGUGGUAGAGCGCUUGCCUAGCAAGCGCAAGGCCCUGGGUUCGGUCCCCAGCUCCG
This 69-nucleotide transfer RNA is filed under the name Rattus norvegicus (Norway rat). It matches the Rfam family "tRNA". Rfam says of the family: Transfer RNA (tRNA) molecules are approximately 80 nucleotides in length. Their secondary structure includes four short double-helical elements and three loops (D, anti-codon, and T loops). Further hydrogen bonds mediate the characteristic L-shaped molecular structure. tRNAs have two regions of fundamental functional importance: the anti-codon, which is responsible for specific mRNA codon recognition, and the 3' end, to which the tRNAs corresponding amino acid is attached (by aminoacyl-tRNA synthetases). tRNAs cope with the degeneracy of the genetic code in two manners: having more than one tRNA (with a specific anti-codon) for a particular amino acid; and 'wobble' base-pairing, i.e. permitting non-standard base-pairing at the 3rd anti-codon position. Lineage: Eukaryota; Metazoa; Chordata; Mammalia; Rodentia; Muridae. The record is from Rfam by way of RNAcentral.